Molecule: ribosomal RNA, 253 nt
Filed under: uncultured bacterium
Lineage: Bacteria
Description: partial 16S ribosomal RNA
Rfam family: Bacterial small subunit ribosomal RNA
Source: RNAcentral
UACGGGGGGGGCAAGCGUUGUUCGGAAUUACUGGGCGUAAAGGGCGCGUAGGCGGUCAGAUAAGUCAGCUGUGAAAACCUCGGGCUUAACCCGAGGCCUGCAGUUGAAACUGUUUGGCUGGAGUGUGGGAGAGGAGAGUGGAAUUCCCGGUGUAGCGGUGAAAUGCGCAGAUAUCAGGAAGAACACCAAUGGCGAAGGCAGCUCUCUGGGACGGUACUGACGCUGAGGCACGAAAGCGUGGGGAGCAAACAGG